GAUGAACGCUGGCGACGUGCCUAAUACAUGCAAGUCGAGCGAACGGACGAGAAGCUUGCUUCUCUGAUGUUAGCGGCGGACGGGUGAGUAACACGUGGAUAACCUACCUAUAAGACUGGGAUAACUUCGGGAAACCGGAGCUAAUACCGGAUGAUAUUUUGAACCGCAUGGUUCAAAAGUGAAAGACGGUCUUGCUGUCACUUAUAGAUGGAUUCGCGCUGCAUUAGCUAGUUGGUAAGGUAACGGCUUACCAAGGCAACGAUGCAUAGCCGACCUGAGAGGGUGAUCGGCCACACUGGAACUGAGACACGGUCCAGACUCCUACGGGAGGCAGCAGUAGGGAAUCUUCCGCAAUGGGCGAAAGCCUGACGGAGCAACGCCGCGUGAGUGAUGAAGGUCUUCGGAUCGUAAAACUCUGUUAUUAGGGAAGAACAUAUGUGUAAGUAACUGUGCACAUCUUGACGGUACCUAAUCAGAAAGCCACGGCUAACUACGUG
RNAcentral lists this ribosomal RNA (497 nucleotides) under uncultured bacterium. Its description in RNAcentral is "partial 16S ribosomal RNA". It matches the Rfam family "Bacterial small subunit ribosomal RNA", at positions 28 to 507 of the family's 1533-position model. The record is from RNAcentral.